AUUGAACGCUGGCGGCAGGCCUAACACAUGCAAGUCGAGCGGAUGAAGGGAGCUUGCUCCUGGAUUCAGCGGCGGACGGGUGAGUAAUGCCUAGGAAUCUGCCUGGUAGUGGGGGAUAACGUCCGGAAACGGGCGCUAAUACCGCAUACGUCCUGAAGGAGAAAGUGGGGGAUCUUCGGACCUCACGCUAUCAGCUGAGCCUAGGUCGGAUUAGCUAGUUGGUGGGGUAAAGGCCUACCAAGGCGACGAUGCGUAACUGGUCUGAGAGGAUGAUCAGUCACACUGGAACUGAGACACGGUCCAGACUCCUACGGGAGGCAGCAGUAGGGAAUCUUCGGCAAUGGGCGAAAGCCUGAUGCAGCCAUGCCGCGUGAGUGAAGAAGGUCUUCGGAUUGUAAAGCUCUUUUAGUAGGGAAGAAGAACAGUGUAAGUAAAUCUGGCCGUCUUGACGGUACCUAAAGAGUAAGCACCGGCUAACUUCGUG
RNAcentral lists this ribosomal RNA (484 nucleotides) under uncultured bacterium. Its description in RNAcentral is "partial 16S ribosomal RNA". It matches the Rfam family "Bacterial small subunit ribosomal RNA", at positions 30 to 507 of the family's 1533-position model. The record is from RNAcentral.